Molecule: ribosomal RNA, 468 nt
Filed under: uncultured bacterium
Lineage: Bacteria
Description: partial 16S ribosomal RNA
Rfam family: Bacterial small subunit ribosomal RNA
Source: RNAcentral
GACGAACGCUGGCGGCGUGCUUAACACAUGCAAGUCGAACGGAAAGGCCCUGCUUUUGUGGGGUGCUCGAGUGGCGAACGGGUGAGUAACACGUGAGUAAACUGCACUUGACUGUGGGAUAACUUCAGGAAACUGGGGCUAAUACCGGAUAGGAGCUCCUGCUGCAUGGGGGGGGUUGGAAAGAUUCGGCGGUGGGGGAUGGACUAGCGGCUUAUCAGCUUGUUGGGGGGGUAGGGGCUUACCAAGGCUUUGACGGGUAGCCGGCCUGAGAGGGUGACCGGCCACAUUGGGCCUGAGAUACGGCCCAGUCUCCUACGGGAGGCAGCAGUGGGGAAUAUUGCACAAUGGGCGGAAGCCUGAUGCAGCAACGCCGCGUGCGGGAUGCCGGCCUUCGGGUUGUAAACCGCUUUCGCCUGUGACGAAGCGUGAGUGACGGUAAUGGGUAAAGAAGCACCGGCUAACUACGUG